RNAcentral lists this ribosomal RNA (706 nucleotides) under uncultured Propionibacterium sp. Its description in RNAcentral is "bacterial SSU rRNA". It matches the Rfam family "Bacterial small subunit ribosomal RNA", at positions 20 to 737 of the family's 1533-position model. The record is from RNAcentral. Lineage: Bacteria; Bacillati; Actinomycetota; Actinomycetes; Propionibacteriales; Propionibacteriaceae.
UGGCUCAGGACGAACGCUGGCGGCGUGCUUAACACAUGCAAGUCGAACGGAAAGGCCCUGCUUUUGUGGGGUGCUCGAGUGGCGAACGGGUGAGUAACACGUGAGUAACCUGCCCUUGACUUUGGGAUAACUUCAGGAAACUGGGGCUAAUACCGGAUAGGAGCUCCUGCUGCAUGGUGGGGGUUGGAAAGUUUCGGCGGUUGGGGAUGGACUCGCGGCUUAUCAGCUUGUUGGUGGGGUAGUGGCUUACCAAGGCUUUGACGGGUAGCCGGCCUGAGAGGGUGACCGGCCACAUUGGGACUGAGAUACGGCCCAGACUCCUACGGGAGGCAGCAGUGGGGAAUAUUGCACAAUGGGCGGAAGCCUGAUGCAGCAACGCCGCGUGCGGGAUGACGGCCUUCGGGUUGUAAACCGCUUUCGCCUGUGACGAAGCGUGAGUGACGGUAAUGGGUAAAGAAGCACCGGCUAACUACGUGCCAGCAGCCGCGGUGAUACGUAGGGUGCGAGCGUUGUCCGGAUUUAUUGGGCGUAAAGGGCUCGUAGGUGGUUGAUCGCGUCGGAAGUGUAAUCUUGGGGCUUAACCCUGAGCGUGCUUUCGAUACGGGUUGACUUGAGGAAGGUAGGGGAGAAUGGAAUUCCUGGUGGAGCGGUGGAAUGCGCAGAUAUCAGGAGGAACACCAGUGGCGAAGGCGGUUCUCUGGGCCUU